ACGGGGUGCAGCAGGCGCGAAAACUCCGCAAUGCGCGAAAGCGUGACGGGGUUACCCCGAGUGCCGUCCGUUGAGGAUGGCUUUUCUCUAGUGUAAGAUGCUGGGGGAAUAAAGGGGGGGCAAGUCUGGUGUCAGCCGCCGCGGUAAUACCAGCCCCCUGAGUGAUAGGGACGAUUAUUUAGCCUAAAGCGUCCGUAGCCGGUUUAGUAAGUCUUUCGUUAAAUCUGACGACUCAAUCGCCAGGCCGCGGAAGAUACUACUAGACUAGAGGGCGGGAGAGGUUGACGGUAGUCCUGGAGUAGGGGUGAAAUCCUAUAAUCCCGGGAGGACCACCAGUGGCGAAGGCGGUCAACUAGAACGCGCCUGACGGUGAUGGACGAAAGCUGGGGGAGCGAACCGGAUUAGAUACCCGGGUAGUCCCAGCUGUAAACGAUGCAGACUAGGUGUUUGGACGGCCACGUGCCGUUCUAGUGCCGCAGGGAAGCUGUUAAGCCUGCCGCCUGGGGAGUACGGCCGCAAGGCUGAAACUUAAAGGAAUUGGCGGGGGAGCAC
Molecule: ribosomal RNA, 552 nt
Filed under: uncultured archaeon
Lineage: Archaea
Description: bacterial SSU rRNA
Rfam family: Archaeal small subunit ribosomal RNA
Source: RNAcentral